UUAUUUCCGAACACAACCCGAUGGGUACCGACGGCUUCGAGUUCGUCGAAUACGCCCAUCCCGAGCCGGAAAAGCUGCACGCGCUGUUCCGCCUGAUGGGGUUCACGGCGGGCCCCCGCCAGGCGAUCACGGUCUAUCGCCAGGGCGACGUGAACUAUCUCGUUAACGAGCAGCCCGGCACCCAUGGCUACGAUUUUGUCGCCGCGCAUGGUCCGUGCGCGCCGUCGAUGGCGUUCCGCGUGGUCGAUGCCAAGCGCGCCUAUGAGCGCGCGCUCUCGCUCGGCGCGGAGUCGGCGGAUGAGACGACCGCGCGCAAGACGCUGGACGUUCCGGCGAUCAAGGGCA
RNAcentral lists this unclassified non-coding RNA (345 nucleotides) under Hevea brasiliensis (rubber tree). Lineage: Eukaryota; Viridiplantae; Streptophyta; Magnoliopsida; Malpighiales; Euphorbiaceae. The record is from RNAcentral.